UCACUGCACGUUUUCAAGGUUUUUGUGUGGGAAAGCUGGUCAUAGAACAUUUGGGACAUUUGGGAAAGUAGUAAAGGUUAGAAAUAGCCUGUAGAAAUGGAAGGCAGAGUUGGUUAGAAACUCACAACAGGUGGAACGCGGUGGCUCACGUCUGUAAUCCCAGCUACUCGGGAGGCUGGGGAAGAAGAAUCACUUGAACCCGGUAGGCAGAGGUUGAAGUGAGCCAAGAUGGCGCCACGGCACUCCAUCCUGGGCAAAAAAGAAAAUCAUAACAGAUUUCCUGACAGCACUGAGAACCCAACUGAGGUUGCAUUCUGGGCAACUCUUUAGCGUUUGCCUGGAUUGCUUGGAUUGUGGCUCCUUCCUCCAUCUUCAAAGACAGCAGUGUAACAUCUUCAAAUCUCUGACUCUGACCUUCAUGCCUCCCUCUUUCACUCAUAAGGACCAUUGUGAUUACAUUGUGCUUAUCCAAAUAAUCCAGAAUAAAUGCUCCAUCUCAAGGCCCUUAAAUUAAUCAAACUGCAACGUCCCCUUUGUCAUGUAAGGUAUCAUGUUCACAAGUUUAGGAAUUAGGAUAUGGUCAUCUUUGUGGAGGGUGGCAGGGCAUUAGUCUGCCUACCAUAGUGUCCCUAAUCUGCUUUCUUUUCUGGCAACCUCAUCCAGUUACUUCCUCAACUUCUGUUUAUCUACUGAAAUGCAACUUCUAUUUCCUUAACAUUUUUUUCUCUCCAUGGAUCUUUCUGUUCCUACCUUUUCUUUCUUCCAUUUCCAGCUUAGAUUCCUUGUUCUUUCCCUUCAGCCACAUUUCAGCAGUGUCCUCACACUCCUUUGUUUCAUAGUGAACAUCCUCCCUCAGAGUUCCAAUUGUAGAUUAUUCCAUAUGGAUCUUAUUCACUCCACACAGACUGUUUGGUGCUCCUAGAGAAUAUCACACCACGGUGAAGAUUAGUGCCACUCUAAAUAAGGAGUAGGCCUUCCAGUCCAGGAUGCCUGUACCCACAACCUCCCCUGCCUUCCCACCCACCACAAGGCCUGGAAUGCUCAUGCUGCUGUUACUCGUACCCCACCUACUUGAAAUAAAAGCAAAGAGGCCAGGUGGCUGCUGCACACUCUUCUAGGGGUGGGCUCAAGGGGCAGUUCUGUACUCACCAUCUCCUCCUGCAUAAGGAUUCAACUUGGUAUCAUCUUCAAAGAGGAGAGAAAGAGCAAGAUUAGUGAAAUAAUUACGGCCUUUGUUACCUUGGGUCCAGACAGGACUUUUGGGAAGUUCAGUCCAACCCUUCACUUUAGAGGCCAGGAAACUUAAGUACAGAGAAGAGGGGUGACUUACUUGUUCCCUUCAAUGCUAUCCCACUCACUUGCAUUUCCCUAAUAGGAUUCAUAGUAGCUACUUCAAGAAGGCUUGACUUCCUCAAGAUAUCUAAUCCUACUUUCUGUACCUUCAGCUGAUGACUUUGCCUCCUACUUCAAAUUUAAAAAUGCCAUCAAAUGAAAACCAUCUUAACUUCCUUCAUUAACUUAUAAAUGUACCUAUAUUUGUAUGCAUCCUUU
RNAcentral lists this long non-coding RNA (1551 nucleotides) under Homo sapiens (human). RNAcentral's name for it is "HSALNT0103335". The record is from RNAcentral. Lineage: Eukaryota; Metazoa; Chordata; Mammalia; Primates; Hominidae.